CCAUUCUUGAGAGCUGCUCCACCGAAAGCUGAAAAGGACAAACUUCUGCCAGCUGAGAGAGAAGCAGAAGAUGAAGAGGAAGGAGAAGGAGAGGAGGGAGAAGGAAAAGAAAGAGCGGCAUGAGUCAACUAACCUGGGAUAGGCUCAUAAGAACUCCCAAGCCUCCCGCUGUCCCUCCAUUUUUCAUUACUGCAGCCAGCCGGUGCCAACUUGAGAAGGUGAUGGGAAACCAAGCAUGUAGUGGAUGGUCUGAGAGUUCAGGUGUUGGAGUAAAUGCUGAUAAAAUCCAGAAGGAAACAUGUGAUUAAGUGAAGCAGUGAAACAUCUCCCUUUGGUUCUGAACGCGGCCAACGGCCCGGCCUACUCCGACCUGUGGCUCCGAGCCUUUUCGAAGCCGGCCCCACUAGAUAAUCGGCCACAUGGACUCCAGGCACGACAGCUGACCCAGUAGGUUCAUUUUCCUAUUUAAUUCCUCUCCUUUUAACGCUUCGGCCUAUUGAAGGUGUCGAUUUUUUUUUUUUUAUCCUGGUGCCCUGGCCCUUACCUGUUCUUCGUUUGUUUGUUUUUUUCACUUAUUUGUGAAAUAGUACUGAUAGAUAUGUCUGUGCCAAAAACUGACAAUACCAAAUGUGACCGUUAAAAUGGGUAAAUAUUGUAAUAUUGAAUUGUGCAGGUUUUGUUCAGAGAAACAUUAUUCUGUGUAAAUGAUUUCUCUUUCAUAUAAUUAUUUAUUUA
Molecule: long non-coding RNA, 735 nt
Filed under: Scleropages formosus (Asian bonytongue)
Lineage: Eukaryota; Metazoa; Chordata; Actinopteri; Osteoglossiformes; Osteoglossidae
Description: lncRNA (ENSSFOG00015027924.1)
Source: RNAcentral